RNAcentral lists this transfer RNA (52 nucleotides) under Parachtes romandiolae. RNAcentral describes it as "tRNA-Thr". Lineage: Eukaryota; Metazoa; Arthropoda; Arachnida; Araneae; Dysderidae. The record is from RNAcentral.
UAAUGUGUGGUUUAAGUAAAAACAUAAACUUUGUAAGUUUACAUUACAAAAA